GUCGAGUCUAGGAGUCAAAGUUGCUAUGUUUUGAAAAGUGCAUGAUUAUAUAGUCUACUUUGAUCAGUUUGAUGUGCCUGUAGAAUUUCAAAAAAAUGAGAAAAGGAACAAAAAGAUUGAAAAACUCAAAAAAGGAAGGUGACAAGCAAAAAAAAACUCAGUCUCUAGAUAAGAAAAAUAAAAAAAAUAAAAAAGAGGACCAAACGUUCUCGAGUUAGUUGAAUAAAUUAGCACAAAAGCUCAAAGUCGUAUUUUUUG
RNAcentral lists this long non-coding RNA (258 nucleotides) under Linum usitatissimum (flax). Its description in RNAcentral is "long non-coding RNA (LUSI_LNC006211)". The record is from RNAcentral. Lineage: Eukaryota; Viridiplantae; Streptophyta; Magnoliopsida; Malpighiales; Linaceae.